This 468-nucleotide ribosomal RNA is filed under the name uncultured bacterium. RNAcentral describes it as "partial 16S ribosomal RNA". It matches the Rfam family "Bacterial small subunit ribosomal RNA", at positions 28 to 507 of the family's 1533-position model. The record is from RNAcentral.
GACGAACGCUGGCGGCGUGCUUAACACAUGCAAGUCGAACGGAAAGGCCCUGCUUUUGUGGGGUGCUCGAGUGGCGAACGGGUGAGGAACACGUGAGUAACCUGCCCUUGACUUUGGGAUAACUUCAGGAAACUGGGGCUAAUACCGGAUAGGAGCUCCUGCUGCAUGGUGGGGGUUGGAAAGUUUCGGCGGUUGGGGAUGGACUGGCGGCUUAUCAGCUUGUUGGUGGGGUAGUGGCUUACCAAGGCUUUGACGGGUAGCCGGCCUGAGAGGGUGACCGGCCACAAUGGGACUGAGAGACGGACCAGACGCCUACGGGAGGCAGCAGUGGGGAAUAUUGCACAAUGGGCGGAAGCCUGAUGCAGCAACGCCGCGUGCGGGAUGACGGCCUUCGGGUUGUAAACCGCUUUCGCCUGUGACGAAGCGUGAGUGACGGUAAUGGGUAAAGAAGCACCGGCUAACUACGUG